CCUACGGGAGGCAGCAGUAGGGAAUCUUUCACAAUGGGCGCAAGCCUGAUGGAGCAACGCCGCGUGCAGGAUGAAGGCCUUCGGGUUGUUAACUGCUUUUAUAAGCGAGAAAUAUGAUGGUAACUUAUGAAUAAGGAUCGGCUAACUACGUGCCAGCAGCCGCGGUCAUACGUAGGAUCCGAGCAUUAUCCGGAGUGACUGGGUGUAAAGAGGUGCGUAGGUGGCAUAAUAAGUAGCUAGGGAAAUCUGGUGGCGCAACCAUUCAGACUAUUAGCUAAACUGUUAAGCUCGAGACCGUUAGGGGUAACUGGAAUGUGUGGUGUAGGAGUGAAAUCCGUAGAUAUUAGAAGGAACACCAAUAGCGUAGGCAGGUUACUGGGACGGUUCUGACACUAAGGCACGAAAGCGUAGGGAGCAAACGGGAUUAGAUACCCGUGUAGUC
Molecule: ribosomal RNA, 442 nt
Filed under: uncultured bacterium
Lineage: Bacteria
Description: partial 16S ribosomal RNA
Rfam family: Bacterial small subunit ribosomal RNA
Source: RNAcentral